RNAcentral lists this ribosomal RNA (492 nucleotides) under Bemisia afer. Its description in RNAcentral is "partial large subunit ribosomal RNA". It matches the Rfam family "Bacterial large subunit ribosomal RNA", at positions 1817 to 2606 of the family's 2925-position model. Lineage: Eukaryota; Metazoa; Arthropoda; Insecta; Hemiptera; Aleyrodidae. The record is from RNAcentral.
AGUCCAAGGAACUCAAGUCUUAGAUAACUCCUGCUCAAUGAUUUAAAUUAAAUGGCUGCAGUAAAUUAACUGUACUAAGGUAGCAUAAUCAAUUGCUUCCUGAUUAGAAGCUGGAAUGAACGGAACAAUGAGAAACUAACUCUUUAAAAUUAACAGGUAAAAAUUAAUAUUUGAGUGAAAAAUCUCAAAUCCCAUCAAAAGACAAGAAGACCCUUUAGAAUUUAAUAACUCACUAUUUAUAAAAAUAUCUGUACUUAUUUAAUUGGGGAGAUUGAAAGAUAUUUUAACCUCUUUUUAUUAAAUAAAUACUGAAAGUAAGUUAAAUUAUCCACCCACGAAAUAAAACUAAUUACCUAAGGGAUAACAGCGUAAAAUUUUUAGAAAGAUCCCAUUGAUAAAAUAAAUUACGACCUCGAUGUUGGAUUAAGAAUACUCUAUAAAGAAGAAUUUAUAGAAAACGGUCUGUUCGACCGAUGAAUUCUUACAUGAUCU